Molecule: long non-coding RNA, 179 nt
Organism: Cervus elaphus (red deer)
Lineage: Eukaryota; Metazoa; Chordata; Mammalia; Artiodactyla; Cervidae
Exons: 3
Source: RefSeq, a predicted model, not a curated record
GCCUGUAAUCCCAGCUACUUGGGAGGCUGAGGCUGGAGGAUUGCUUGAGCUCAGGAGUUCCGGGCUGCAGUGCGCUAUGCUGAUCGGGUGUCCGCACUAAGUUCGGCAUCAAUAUGGUGACCUCCCGGGAGCGGGGGACCACCAGGUUGCCUAAGGAGGGAAGAGGGUCGGGUGGGGGU